This 414-nucleotide long non-coding RNA is filed under the name Mytilus galloprovincialis (Mediterranean mussel). The record is from RNAcentral. Lineage: Eukaryota; Metazoa; Mollusca; Bivalvia; Mytilida; Mytilidae.
UGUAAAUUAUUUAUUUUAUACUUUGUAUAAUAUGGAUACAUGUUUUACAUUGUUAUGAAUCUAAUAUGAUAAUUUGAGUCAAAUCAGUCAUGAAUUUGACAGCUAGUGUCCAUUUGAGCACGUAUCCUAUAUGCAUACUGUGCGAUUAAGAGUAUAGCACAAUUCGUCAGUAUGUAUUACUAUUAACGAAUGAAAUCUAAAACAGAUGCCUGAUUAUUUCAGAGUUACAUCAUUUCCUUUAAAAUUGAGGAAGUUAUUAUGUAACGUUUAUGUGAUGAUGUGCUCAUGAUGUGCUAUAGCAAAAAAGAGGAUUCUUCUUUCUAGAGAUACUGAUAUAUAACACGAGACAUAUUGUUUAUUGGCUCUGAUGUUACAAGCAAAGGAUAUCCGUUAGUCUCGAUACAUCCUUUGUUU